AAUCCAGUUCUCUGAGGGACCCCUGGGCCUCUUGGUUUUUGCUAGAGUAACUAUAGCAGCCUUAGCAAUUAAUUAUACUCUUAUUUCCUUUCUCAUAUUAGCCUAAAACCCUGACAAUCUAAGCUUUCUGAAGGGUAAUAGCCAGGAUUAGAAACCAUUUCCUGAUCCUGUUAGCCAAGGAGAUGGUGCUCAGCUAUAGGCAUGGCUGCCUGGAGACCCCCGCAAAUGGUCUCCCUCUUAUUACAUGCUGUUCUGAUGCUGAGGAGAGUUAAUUAAUGACUCUAAAUAAGAAAACAAUCAAAUCUGUCUGCAGUCAUAUGAGUCAGAGCGGACCCAGAUGGGGAGCCAGUCCUUGGCCUCCAAGUGCCCUGGGGGAAAGCAAUAGCAGCUUUUGCUCCAGACGUCAAAGCCCUACAAAA
This 419-nucleotide long non-coding RNA is filed under the name Bos taurus (domestic cattle). RNAcentral's name for it is "long non-coding RNA NONBTAT009245". The record is from RNAcentral. Lineage: Eukaryota; Metazoa; Chordata; Mammalia; Artiodactyla; Bovidae.